This is a long non-coding RNA of Gossypium raimondii (Peruvian cotton), 662 nucleotides long. RefSeq lists it as uncharacterized. Lineage: Eukaryota; Viridiplantae; Streptophyta; Magnoliopsida; Malvales; Malvaceae. The record is from RefSeq and is a predicted model, not a curated record. The transcript has 3 exons.
CAUAACCCCAUAACCUUCGCCUGCAUAUAUUUGUUGAAUCUAUUAGCUGUUGAAUGAAAUUACAUAAAAUAUCAAAAUGACAUAUGAUCAGUUUCAUUAACUCACAGUUUUAUCCUUUGUCUUUUGGGGUUUCGUAUAAUGGGUUACCAAAUACCAAAAGCAAACCAUGUCCAGAAUCUUUUAGAACAAGCCAUAGAGCUAUGGAGAAAGAAAUCUCAAACAAGGUUAAUUUGCUCCACCAAAGUGCUGAAGAAUGUGAAGAGCAAGGGGUACUAUUUAUUUCUUCUUAUCAUUUUUGCAUGCAAACAAUAUAUAUUUGCAUGAAAGGUUCACAUUUAUAAUACGUUCAAUGCGAAUUCAGACUUUGUUUUUAUGUACUUUAAUUGUCUUUCAUGUUUUCGGUGAGCAUUGAAGUUAAAAUUACAGCUGAGGUUCCCAUAAAGAAUGUUGUUCUAUGAAGUGCUUACCUCAAAGGCAGCAUGGGUUGUACUUGAUAGAAACCUCGUCAAGAAGAUACUCUUCGACUCAUAACUACAGGAUCUGAAGAAAAAAGGACUCUGAUGGCUUCUUCACUGGCCAACACAGUUUGAGAGCAGGGAGUAAAGGGGCAGAAGGAAGGUGCGACAAGUUUUGUAGGCUAAUCUGGUGUUGGAAAAUUCCGG